UACGAAGGGUGCAAGCGUUACUCGGAAUUACUGGGCGUAAAGCGUGCGUAGGCGGUUUGUUAAGUCUGCUGUGAAAGCCCCGGGCUCAACCUGGGAACGGCAGUGGAUACUGGCAAGCUAGAGUGUGUCAGAGGAUGGUGGAAUUCCCGGUGUAGCGGUGAAAUGCGUAGAGAUCGGGGGGAACAUCAGUGGCGAAGGCGGCCAUCCGGGACAACACUGACGCUGAGGAGCGAAAGCAUGGGGAGCGAACAGG
Molecule: ribosomal RNA, 253 nt
Filed under: uncultured bacterium
Lineage: Bacteria
Description: partial 16S ribosomal RNA
Rfam family: Bacterial small subunit ribosomal RNA
Source: RNAcentral